GGGUUGUGAGGUUAAGCGACUAAGCGUACACGGUGGAUGCCCUGGCAGUCAGAGGCGAUGAAGGGCGUGCUAAUCUGCGAUAAGCGCCGGUAAGGUGAUAUGAACCGUUAUAACCGGCGAUACCCGAAUGGGGAAACCCAGUGUGACUCGUCACACUAUCAUUAACUGAAUCCAUAGGUUAAUGAGGCGAACCGGGGGAACUGAAACAUCUAAGUACCCCGAGGAAAAGAAAUCAACCGAGAUUCCCCCAGUAGCGGCGAGCGAACGGGGAGGAGCCCAGAGCCUGAAUCAGCAUGUGUGUUAGUGGAAGCGUCUGGAAAGGCGCGCGAUACAGGGUGACAGCCCCGUACACAAAAGCGCAUGUGCUGUGAGCUCGAUGAGUAGGGCGGGACACGUGGUAUCCUGUCUGAAUAUGGGGGGACCAUCCUCCAAGGCUAAAUACUCCUGACUGACCGAUAGUGAACCAGUACCGUGAGGGAAAGGCGAAAAGAACCCCGGCGAGGGGAGUGAAAAAGAACCUGAAACCGUGUACGUACAAGCAGUGGGAGCACCCUUGGGGUGUGACUGCGUACCUUUUGUAUAAUGGGUCAGCGACUUAUAUUCUGUAGCAAGGUUAACCGUAUAGGGGAGCCGUAGGGAAACCGAGUCUUAACCGGGCGUUAAGUUGCAGGGUAUAGACCCGAAACCCGGUGAUCUAGCCAUGGGCAGGUUGAAGGUUGGGUAACACUAACUGGAGGACCGAACCGACUAAUGUUGAAAAAUUAGCGGAUGACCUGUGGCUGGGGGUGAAAGGCCAAUCAAACCGGGAGAUAGCUGGUUCUCCCCGAAAGCUAUUUAGGUAGCGCCUCGUGAAUUCAUCUCCGGGGGUAGAGCACUGUUUCGGCUAGGGGGCCAUCCCGGCUUACCAACCCGAUGCAAACUGCGAAUACCGGAGAAUGUUAUCACGGGAGACACACGGCGGGUGCUAACGUCCGUCGUGAAGAGGGAAACAACCCAGACCGCCAGCUAAGGUCCCAAAGUCAUGGUUAAGUGGGAAACGAUGUGGGAAGGCCCAGACAGCCAGGAUGUUGGCUUAGAAGCAGCCAUCAUUUAAAGAAAGCGUAAUAGCUCACUGGUCGAGUCGGCCUGCGCGGAAGAUGUAACGGGGCUAAACCAUGCACCGAAGCUGCGGCAGCGA
Molecule: ribosomal RNA, 1177 nt
Filed under: Salmonella enterica subsp. enterica serovar Muenchen
Lineage: Bacteria; Pseudomonadati; Pseudomonadota; Gammaproteobacteria; Enterobacterales; Enterobacteriaceae
Description: bacterial LSU rRNA
Rfam family: Bacterial large subunit ribosomal RNA
Source: RNAcentral